RNAcentral lists this ribosomal RNA (468 nucleotides) under uncultured bacterium. Its description in RNAcentral is "partial 16S ribosomal RNA". It matches the Rfam family "Bacterial small subunit ribosomal RNA", at positions 28 to 507 of the family's 1533-position model. The record is from RNAcentral.
GACGAACGCUGGCGGCGUGCUUAACACAUGCAAGUCGAACGGAAAGGCCCUGCUUUUGUGGGGUGCUCGAGUGGCGAACGGGUGAGUAACACGUGAGUAACCUGCCCUUGACUUUGGGAUAACUUCAGGAAACUGGGGCUAAUACCGGAUAGGAGCUCCUGCUGCAUGGUGGGGGUUGGAAAGUUUCGGCGGUUGGGGAUGGACUCGCGGCUUAUCAGCUUGUUGGUGGGGUAGUGGCUUACCAAGGCUUUGACGGGUAGCCGGCCUGAGAGGGUGACCGGGCAGAUUGGGACUGAGAUACGGGCCAGAAUCCUACGGGAAGCAGCAGUGGGGAAUUUUGCACAAGGGUCGGAAGCCUGAUGCAGCAACGCCGCGUGCGGGAUGACGGCCUUCGGGUUGUAAACCGCUUUCGCCUGUGACGAAGCGUGAGUGACGGUAAUGGGUAAAGAAGCACCGGCUAACUACGUG